CUGACAGCGUGCCUCAGAAACCGUAUGACUUGAGGGCAGGAGAGGGGAGUGGAAUUCCCGGUGUAGCGGUGAUAUGCGUAGAUAUCGGGAGGAGCACCAGUGGCGAAGGCGGCUCCCUGGCCUGUUUCUGACGCUGAGGCGCGAAAGCGUGGGUAGCGAACGGGAUUAGAUACCCCGGUAGUCCACGCCGUAAACGAUGGGUGCUAGGUGUAGGAGGUAUCGACCCCUUCUGUGCCGUAGCUAACACAAUAAGCACC
RNAcentral lists this ribosomal RNA (257 nucleotides) under uncultured bacterium. Its description in RNAcentral is "partial 16S ribosomal RNA". It matches the Rfam family "Bacterial small subunit ribosomal RNA", at positions 613 to 868 of the family's 1533-position model. The record is from RNAcentral.